UAUUUUAAUUGCGUGAGUCUGAUGCAUGAUCAUCUUAAAAUAUUUAUAAAAAAAACUGCUAAGAUGCCCUGUAUUACUCUGAACAUGCUUGAUCGCCCGUAUUUUUUUAGACGUGCAUCUUAGCAGUUUUUUUUUUAAAUUUUAAGACGAUCAUGCAUCAGCCUCACGCAAUUAAAAU
This 178-nucleotide microRNA precursor is filed under the name Prunus dulcis (almond). RNAcentral describes it as "sRNA ncRNA". The record is from RNAcentral. Lineage: Eukaryota; Viridiplantae; Streptophyta; Magnoliopsida; Rosales; Rosaceae.